This 329-nucleotide ribosomal RNA is filed under the name Capnocytophaga sp. AHN9821. RNAcentral's name for it is "bacterial SSU rRNA". It matches the Rfam family "Bacterial small subunit ribosomal RNA", at positions 106 to 434 of the family's 1533-position model. Lineage: Bacteria; Pseudomonadati; Bacteroidota; Flavobacteriia; Flavobacteriales; Flavobacteriaceae. The record is from RNAcentral. RNAcentral also lists the same sequence under 3 other names.
GUGCGUAACGCGUAUACAAUCUGCCUUUCACAUAGGGAUAGCCCGAAGAAAUUUGGAUUAAUACCUAAUGGUAUAUAGGAGCGGCAUCGUUUUUAUAUUAAAGCUACGGUGGUGAAAGAUGAGUAUGCGUUCUAUUAGCUAGUUGGAGAGGUAACGGCUCCCCAAGGCGACGAUAGAUAGGGGUUCUGAGAGGGAUGUCCCCCACACUGGUACUGAGAUACGGACCAGACUCCUACGGGAGGCAGCAGUGAGGAAUAUUGGACAAUGGUCGGAAGACUGAUCCAGCCAUGCCGCGUGCAGGAUGAAGGUCCUAUGGAUUGUAAACUGCU